RNA transcript from Lolium rigidum, 567 nucleotides. RefSeq lists it as uncharacterized. The transcript has 5 exons. The record is from RefSeq and is a predicted model, not a curated record. NCBI's taxonomy places the organism in Eukaryota, Viridiplantae, Streptophyta, Magnoliopsida, Poales, Poaceae.
CUCUGCAUUUAAAUAUAUGCUUUGGGCUGACUAAAGAAAUGAAUAUGCUAGGAACUUAUGAAGCUGGAAUAAUUAUGCUUGUACCUGUGCUUCUACCACGACCAUUUGCCUGCCUACUUUCUGUUCUUAUUUUUUGUUCAACUGAAUCCUGUUGAGUAACAUGGUCGAACAUGCUGUUUGGGUGUGAGCGCUUCAGGCUAUUAUCAUUUUGUUUUGUGCAAACGGAGAUCCAACACUAGAAAUAUUCUUGAUAUGGUCAAGGCCUUCAACUUACCCAUAUGUAGCUUUAGGUUCAAGUUGGGAAUGGAACAAUACUCGUUUCAAUACCAUGAUUACUUUAGUGGCCUUGUUCAAAAAAGAUAGUAGAAAGAUAGUAUCAAGCACCAAGAUACUGCAUCCUGCCACAGUUCGCCGUCUCGCCGCUCCAUGAUUAUUUGACUCAGUUGUGGCAAAUGAAGCAAAUGAGUUUUCCAUGUAUUCUUAUUUGUAGCAAAGUAUAAGGGCAAUAAUUUUUUCAGAUGGCUUAUUAACAUUUGUGAAAUAGUGGAGAUGUUGCUUGUUCCUUCA